This 1200-nucleotide long non-coding RNA is filed under the name Citrus x clementina. RNAcentral's name for it is "Citrus clementina (C. clementina) long non-coding RNA (CCLE_LNC000363)". Lineage: Eukaryota; Viridiplantae; Streptophyta; Magnoliopsida; Sapindales; Rutaceae. The record is from RNAcentral.
AUUUAUUAGGGGAGCAUUCAUAUAUGUAGGUGUAUCUCUCACAAUUGCACUUGGUUCGACCCGGGUAGGAAAAAAAAACUUAUAAUUUUCUAAAAAUUACAAAUAAACCCCAUUCCUUGAAUUUAAAAGCAACUUAUAAUAAAAUUAGUGCAUAAAUAAAAUAAAAUAAUGUCGUCAUAAUGAAGAAGUUAUGGCCUCGCUCGGUCGACAGGGUAAACAAACGCAGACACUAUCGCGUACCGCAUAUAGGAGUGAGCCGCCCCUCCCCUAAGCAGAUAUUAAUCUGGAAACGUGAUUAAAGAUCUUUGACACUGGAAACAAUCAGGUGGGGUACACACACCGUGGGCCAACCAACUGAGAUAUUUCGAAACAGCGUCGGCGAUUUAAAAAAUAGAAAAUAUCUUCACAAAAAUAAACAAUUAAUUAAUUGUGGUUCAAGCAUCGCGUGCCGAGUGAUGGGUCCCACGCCAGGCUGAGAGGUUUCCCAUGUGCAUGAUUUGGGAUUGGCGGAUUUCUGGGCGCACAAGAUCCGAGAGUGCGAGUUAUUAUACAGUGCGGCAGCCCUAUUUUAGAAAUCGUGAUCUUUAAUUUUUGGCCGCCGGCAAUAAGUACAGGAGGCACAAUCAAAAUCAUCAACGGAGACGCACAUAGAGUGAUUAGCUAGAGCCUGGAUUUGUAAUUAUUUUUCCUUUGGUUAAAAAUUAUAAUUAAACAAGGCCAAGCAUUCCCCUCCUUCCUUCAAUUCUACCGCUAUGUAUUUAAUACAUUCUUUUUGGAUCUUGAUUAAAAAGUUAAUUAUUUGUAGCAUUUAUUCAGCACUAUUGAAUUAAUUCUACUUUUUGGAUUGAAUAUAAUUAAAAAAGGAAAAAAAAAAUACAAAAUGACUUGUUUGGAGUAGGAAAGCACGAACAGGCAACUGCAUUAGUUGCUUAUAUGAAAGUUCUAUUUGUGAGUGAGAUGGCAUUCAAGUCAGACUUGAACAAAUGGAAAAUCAUUGAUAAUUUACUGGCGAGCAGAGGGAAAAAUUAUGCGCCUUCUCCAUCGAUAAAAUAUAAAAAUUAUUCACCAUAAUAACUUUGAGAAAUUGUGCAUGCUAUAAACAUAUUUUACUCAUCUUUUAGAAGGUAAAUUCUUUCUUGACUAAUUACUUCUGCAUUUAAAUUAUUCUUCAAGCAUAACAUUGUUAUUAAUUUCUUUCCA